This 76-nucleotide small RNA is filed under the name Xanthomonas fragariae. Its description in RNAcentral is "sX9 sRNA". It matches the Rfam family "Xanthomonas sRNA sX9". The record is from RNAcentral. Lineage: Bacteria; Pseudomonadati; Pseudomonadota; Gammaproteobacteria; Lysobacterales; Lysobacteraceae.
AUGUACCACGUGCACUUUGCGGUUGCUCCGCGCCGUCCGCAUCCACCUGGCGACUGAUUGCUACGUUUUUUUGGCC